GCUAGGCGUGGUGGCGGGCGCCUGUAAUCCCAGCUACUUAGGAGGCUGAGGCAGGAGAAUUGCUUGAACUCGGGAGAUGGAGGUUGCAGUGAGCCAAGAUCAUGCCACUGCACUUCAGCCUGGGUGACAGAGCAAGAUUCCGUCUCGA
Molecule: non-coding RNA, 148 nt
Filed under: Homo sapiens (human)
Lineage: Eukaryota; Metazoa; Chordata; Mammalia; Primates; Hominidae
Source: Rfam by way of RNAcentral